UCUCUUUCUGUAUCUCCGGGCCUGGUGU
RNAcentral lists this non-coding RNA (28 nucleotides) under Mus musculus (house mouse). The record is from RNAcentral. Lineage: Eukaryota; Metazoa; Chordata; Mammalia; Rodentia; Muridae.